This 403-nucleotide long non-coding RNA is filed under the name Olea europaea (common olive). Its description in RNAcentral is "long non-coding RNA (OEUR_LNC007283)". The record is from RNAcentral. Lineage: Eukaryota; Viridiplantae; Streptophyta; Magnoliopsida; Lamiales; Oleaceae.
GCAAACUGAGGCCUUUGCACAUCUUGUCAAACGACAUGCAUUAGCUUCAUCUGCUGCUGCUGGGGGUUUAAGAUCUGCUGCAGAAUGUGUUCAAAUAGCUUUAGGACACUGUUCACUGUUGGAAGCUCGUGGGCUUGCCCUUUGUCCUGUGCUUGUGAAGCUCUUUAGACCUAGUGUNAUAGCUUUAGGACACUGUUCACUGUUGGAAGCUCGUGGGCUUGCCCUUUGUCCUGUGCUUGUGAAGCUCUUUAGACCUAGUGUCGAGCAAGCGCUGGAUGCCAAUUUGAAGCGAAUAGAAGAAAGCACAGCUGCUUUAGCUGCUGCUGAUGAUUGGGAGCUCACAUAUCCUCCAACCGCUUCACGCCAAUCCGGCAGGACUCCUGCAGCUUUGGGUGGUACGAUG